Molecule: ribosomal RNA, 253 nt
Filed under: uncultured bacterium
Lineage: Bacteria
Description: partial 16S ribosomal RNA
Rfam family: Bacterial small subunit ribosomal RNA
Source: RNAcentral
UACGUAGGGGGCAAGCGUUGUCCGGAUUUAUUGGGCGUAAAGAGCGUGUAGGCGGCUGGGUAGGUCCGCUGUGAAAACUCGAGGCUUAACCUCGAGACGUCGGUGGAAACCAUCCAGCUAGAGUCCGGAAGAGGAGAGUGGAAUUCCUGGUGUAGCGGUGAAAUGCGCAGAUAUCAGGAAGAACACCCGUGGCGAAAGCGGCUCUCUGGGACGGUACUGACGCUGAGACGCGAAAGCGUGGUGAGCGAACAGG